CUCAUUACAAAUUUUCUGUCUUUGUGACUGUGAGCAAUAUUUGGUGCGUUUUGAAAAGCUACCGUUAUUCUCGCAUCGCCCUCAUGACGUUACCACUAGUUUCAUUCACUCAGCGCGUGUUUGCUGUGUCUUCUGAGGCUCAGUUUUCCUAUAAAUGCCAGAAUAUUCUCAUCAGCCUACAAGUGAAGACAGUUUACUGAAGGACAGUGAGCACAUGACAGAUCCAGAACCCUGCAGAAUGAAACACACUGAAAAACAAACAGGUGAACUCUCUCAGGAGGAGUUUAUGGAGGGCAUUCAGGCUGACGAGGUUCUGUUGAAGAUGUUGACUCAGAGUUUGGAUCUGACUCGUGUAUCGUCAAAAAAAUCUACAGCGAGAUCAACUCUGAGCAGCAGCUGCACUGAUCCCAGACCAGCUGAUGAUGAUGAAGAUGAUGGCUGUUGUGCAGGUUCUGCAGCAGGUCAAUUCGCAGCUAGUUUCUCCUGGUGUAUUUCUCAUCUUAGAAGCUGAACUUUACCAUUGAGUGAGGACGUUUAAACCCUCAACACAUGAGAAAUAUCCAGUAUUUACCGUGUUUUACUGUGUUACUCUCAGCUGGACUGAAAAUCUUAAUGUAAUCUCACAGAAUAACAUUAGUGAUGGAAACUCGAGCAAACCCUGUUUAUUCAAGUGCACUUAUACACUAAAACCUUGAAUCAUUCCUGUAAAAUACAACAUUCUUCAGUCCUGUGAUGUGUGUGUGUGCAUGCAUAUAUAUAUAUAUAU
Molecule: long non-coding RNA, 766 nt
Organism: Sinocyclocheilus anshuiensis
Lineage: Eukaryota; Metazoa; Chordata; Actinopteri; Cypriniformes; Cyprinidae
Exons: 3
Source: RefSeq, a predicted model, not a curated record